RNAcentral lists this ribosomal RNA (497 nucleotides) under uncultured bacterium. RNAcentral's name for it is "partial 16S ribosomal RNA". It matches the Rfam family "Bacterial small subunit ribosomal RNA", at positions 28 to 507 of the family's 1533-position model. The record is from RNAcentral.
GAUGAACGCUGGCGGCGUGCCUAAUACAUGCAAGUAGAACGCUGAAGGAAGGAGCUUGCUCUUUCCGGAUGAGUUGCGAACGGGUGAGUAACGCGUAGGUAACCUACCUGGUAGCGGGGGAUAACUAUUGGAAACGAUAGCUAAUACCGCAUAACAGUAGAUGUUGCAUGAUAUCUACUUAAAAGGUGCAAUUGCACCACUACCAGAUGGACCUGCGUUGUAUUAGCUAGUUGGUGAGGUAACGGCUCACCAAGGCGACGAUACAUAGCUGACCUGAGAGGGUGAUCGGCCACACUGGGACUGAGACACGGCCCAGACUCCUACGGGAGGCAGCAGUAGGGAAUCUUCGGCAAUGGACGGAAGUCUGACCGAGCAACGCCGCGUGAGUGAAGAAGGUUUUCGGAUCGUAAAGCUCUGUUGUAAGAGAAGAACGAGUGUGAGAGUGGAAAGUUCACACUGUGACGGUAUCUUACCAGAAAGGGACGGCUAACUACGUG